GCUGGAUGAUCUCUCUUGCCAUUACUAUUCUUCUUCUUGCCUUAGGAUCUGGACAUGAACCGUAAGGAGCAUUUAACAAAGGAUUUUCCAGCUGUAUCAGCCAAUGAUCUGGACGUGAACCGUAAGGAGCAUUUAACAAAGGAUUAUCCAGCUGUAUCAGCCAAUAUUCUACGAGCCUGGGGCCGCUGCAAA
Molecule: long non-coding RNA, 192 nt
Organism: Schistocerca piceifrons (Central American locust)
Lineage: Eukaryota; Metazoa; Arthropoda; Insecta; Orthoptera; Acrididae
Exons: 3
Source: RefSeq, a predicted model, not a curated record